ACCUCGGUAGCUUAGUGGUUCAGAGCAACAGGGCAUAAAUCUGAAAACCUGGGUUCGUAACCCAGUCGAGGUC
Molecule: non-coding RNA, 73 nt
Organism: Henosepilachna vigintioctopunctata
Lineage: Eukaryota; Metazoa; Arthropoda; Insecta; Coleoptera; Coccinellidae
Source: the annotation of a GenBank genome assembly